RNAcentral lists this ribosomal RNA (1453 nucleotides) under uncultured Bacteroidia bacterium. RNAcentral describes it as "16S ribosomal RNA". It matches the Rfam family "Bacterial small subunit ribosomal RNA". The record is from RNAcentral. Lineage: Bacteria; Pseudomonadati; Bacteroidota; Bacteroidia.
GAUGAACGCUAGCGGCAGGCCUAACACAUGCAAGUCGAGGGGCAACGGGUGUAGCAAUACAUGCCGGCGACCGGCGCACGGGUGAGUAACGCGUAUGUAAUCUGCCCUGUACAGAGGGAUAACUCGAAGAAAUUCGGACUAAUACCUUAUAAUGACAAUUUGCGACAUCGCGAACAGUUUAAAGGAGCGAUCCGGUACAGGAUGAGCAUGCGUAUCAUUAGUUAGUUGGAGAGGUAACGGCUCCCCAAGGCGACGAUGAUUAGGGGUUCUGAGAGGAUAAUCCCCCACACCGGGACUGAGACACGGCCCGGACUCCUACGGGAGGCAGCAGUGAGGAAUAUUGGUCAAUGGUCGGAAGACUGAACCAGCCAUGCCGCGUGCAGGAAGACGGUCCUAUGGAUUGUAAACUGCUUUUGUAAUAGAACAAUAAGAUGUACGAGUACAUCGAUGAGAGUAUAUUACGAAUAAGCAUCGGCUAACUCCGUGCCAGCAGCCGCGGUAAUACGGAGGAUGCAAGCGUUAUCCGGAUUCAUUGGGUUUAAAGGGUGCGUAGGCGGCAUAUUAAGUCAGCGUAGAAAUGCCGGGGCUCAACUCCGGCGCUAGCGUAGAAACUGGUAAGCUUGAAUGCGAAUGAAGUUGGAGGAAUGUGUGGUGUAGCGGUGAAAUGCAUAGAUAUCACACAGAAGGUCGAUUGCGAAGGCAUCUGACUAAUUCGCCAUUGACGCUGAGGCACGAAAGCGUGGGGAUCAAACAGGAUUAGAUACCUUGGUAGUCCACGCCGUAAACGAUGAUAACUAGCUGUUGGCACAGAAUACGUGUCAGUGGCAAAGCGAAAGCGAUAAGUUAUCCACCUGGGGAGUACGACCGCAAGGUUGAAACUCAAAGGAAUUGACGGGGGCCCGCACAAGCGGAGGAACAUGUGGUUUAAUUCGAUGAUACGCGAGGAACCUUACCCGGGCUCGAACGGACAGAAUAUAAGACGUAUGAAGGUACGUUGCUAGCAAUAGAUUCUGCCGAGGUGCUGCAUGGUUGUCGUCAGCUCGUGCCGUGAGGUGUCGGCUUAAGUGCCAUAACGAGCGCAACCCUUGUUGUCUGUUGCCAUCGGGUAAAGCCGGGGACUCAGAUGAGACUGCCUGCGUAAGCAGUGAGGAAGGGGGGGAUGACGUCAAAUCAGCACGGCCCUUACGUCCGGGGCGACACACGUGUUACAAUGGAUAGGACAGCGGGUAGCUACCUGGCGACAGGAUGCAAAUCCCAAAAACUAUUCUCAGUUCGGAUUGGAGUCUGCAACUCGACUCCAUGAAGCUGGAUUCGCUAGUAAUCGCGCAUCAGCCACGGCGCGGUGAAUACGUUCCCGGGCCUUGUACACACCGCCCGUCAAGCCAUGGAAGCCGGGGGUACCUGAAGUAUGUUACCGCAAGGAGCGUCCUAAGGUAAGACCGGUGACUGGGGC